CCUACGGGAGGCAGCAGUGGGGAAUAUUGGGCAAUGGGCGCAAGCCUGACCCAGCAACGCCGCGUGAAGGAAGAAGGCUUUCGGGUUGUAAACUUCUUUUGUCAGGGAAGAGUAGAAGACGGUACCUGACGAAUAAGCCACGGCUAACUACGUGCCAGCAGCCGCUGUAAUACGUAGGUGGCAAGCGUUUUCCGGAUUUACUGGGUGUAAAGGGCGUGUAGCCGGGUUGACAAGUCAGAUGUGAAAUCCUUCGGCUUAACCGCAGAACUGCAUUUGAAACUGUUGAUCGUGAGUACUGGAGAGGCAGACGGAAUUCCAAGUGUAGCGGUGAAAUGCGUAGAUAUUAGGAGGAAGACCAGUGGCGAAGGCGGUCUGCUGGACAGCAACUGACGGUGAGGCGCGAAAGCGUGGGGAGCAAACAGGAUUAGAUACCCCUGUAGUG
This 442-nucleotide ribosomal RNA is filed under the name uncultured bacterium. Its description in RNAcentral is "partial 16S ribosomal RNA". It matches the Rfam family "Bacterial small subunit ribosomal RNA", at positions 338 to 795 of the family's 1533-position model. The record is from RNAcentral.